ACAAGCAAGACGGUGACCAUGCCAGUGAUGCCUCGCUUCUACUCCACUACGCCCAUGCCCCGCCUCCUCCGCCGCCUCUCCUCCACCUCCACCUCCACCUCGGGGCCCUCACGCUGCUGGGAUCCCAGCGCCGCCCUCGCCGCGGCCACAGAGCGGGUCCGCGCCGGGACGCUCAGCCCGGCAGACGCACGCCACCUGUUCGACGAAUUGCUGCAGCGGCCAACCCCGGUCCCUGGUCAAGCCCUGAACGGCUUCCUCGCCGCCCUUGCCCGCGCUCCGGCCUCCGCCGCCUGCGGAGACAGCCCCGCCCUCGCCGUGUCUCUCUUCAACCGCCUGUGCCGAGAAGCCAGCCCGCAUGCGUCGCCUCUUACAGUCCACACCUACAGCAUCCUCAUGGACUGCUGCUGCCGCGCGCGUCGCCCUGACCUGGGGCUUGCCUUCUUCGGCCGCCUCCUCAGGACGGGCCUGAGGACAGACGGCGUCGACGCAUACGCCCUCAUCAAGUGCUUCUGCCUCGCAAAACGGACAGACGAGGCUGUCAGCGUGCUGCUCCAUAGGUUGUCUGAACUCGGCUGUGUGCCUGAUGCCUUAUCAUACUCCGUCGUUCUGAAGGUCUUAUGCGAUGAUAGCAGGAGCCAGCGAGCGCUCGACCUGCUCCGGAUGAUGUCGAAAGAAGGAGGUGUCUGCGCCCCCAACGUGGUGCCAUAUAGCACGGUCAUCCACGGCUUCUGCAAGGAAGGCAAAGUAAGCAAGGCAUGCGAUCUGUUCAACAAAAUGGGGCAGCAAGGAGUUAAGCCUAAUGUGGUGACAUAUACCUCGAUAAUUGAUGCGCUGUGCAAGGCCAGAGCAAUGGACAAGGCAGAGUCAUUCCUUCGGCAUAUGGUCGAUAAUGAUGUUCGACCCAACAACGUGACAUAUAAGUGUAUCAUCCAGGGAUAUUCCUCUUUGGGCUUGUGGAAUGAGGCAGUAAAAAUAUUCAGAGAAAUGACAAGCCGGGGUCUUAUGCUAGAUGAUGUUACUCGCAACUCAUUCGUGGCCUCCCUUUGCAACCAUGGAAGAAGCAAGGAAGCUGCGGAGAUUGCCCAUCAGAUGAUUGAAAGUGAAACUACAGUGAGCAACUGAGCAUUUCCACAUACGGUAUAAUUCUUGGAGAACUUUGUAGGAAUAAUUGCACUGAGGAAGCAAUCAUACUGUUCCACAAAUUAGGUGCAGUGGAUGUGAAGUUCGAUAUUACAAUAUUCAAUACCAUGAUUGAUGCAAUGUACAGGGUUCAAAGAAGAGAAGAAGCUAACAUUUUGUUUGCUGCAAUAUCUGCCAAUGGAUUGGUACCUAAUGCUUCUACUUACAGAAUAAUGAUGACAAAUCUUUUAAAAGAAGGAUCAAUGGAAGAAGCUGAUCAUAUGUUUUCAUCAAUGGAGGCGAGUGGUGAUGCUCCCAGCUCCGUUCUGUUAAAUGAUAUCAUCAGAAUGUUGCUAUAAAAAGGUGAGAUAGUCAAGGCUGGAAAUUAUUUGUCUAAAGUUGAUGGGAAGAGCAUUUCACUUGAAAAUUCAACUGGUUUGUUGAUGAUGCAUCUAUUUUCAAGGGAAGGCAAAUAUCAUGAGCAAAUAAAAUCACUCCCUGCAAGGUAUCGAUUUUUCGGAGGAGUCAGACACAGUUGAAUAGUUGAUUCAUUGGAUGUGUAUAACUCCUUGGAAGGUACAGUUGAUUUAUUCCAUUGCCAUCUGGGUCUCUUGCUGGUAUUGUAAAUGCAAAUUAGUUGCUUGUGGAAAACUGGUCAUUCAUUUUUCAUUCAGUUCAUAUCUGUGUAUCUUUUAAGCUUCUUUGGGUGUGGAAAGGUGAACCACAUAGUCUAGCAGAACUGGUUGCAUUUAGGGAUAAUGGCUUCUGAUUGAACAGGGAAGGUAUAGAUAUGUGCUCUUUCCACAAGAAGCCCAAUAAACACCAAUUCUAGCUUUUCUAGCAUGGUUUGUUCCAACCACCCGAGAUUUUAUAAUCUCUCUAAAACAGUCACUUUCCUUGAUAUGAAUGCAUUUUUAGCAGAUAUCAUUCUCAGUGAUGUGCUAAGGGUAGACUCACUUUUAGUUUGAGGAAUUUCUGAUAAUGUCAGGGCAAAUGGGUCCCUAAAAAAGGGAUGUUUGAGAUUGCUGAUGCUAUGUUCAUUUAGUGGAUAUUCGAGCUCAUGUCGGAGUCUCAUAGUGUAAGCUGUCAGUAGCACUGAUGGAGAUUGUUGAAUACACUGCCGGCGAUGAGCGGUGUCUUUGGGAGAUUGCAGGCUGACAGGGCCUCUCUUCCUUGACUGCCAUGGCCCUUGGAGCUUAGUUGUUUGGCUGUAGUCCUGUCUGGUCGUUUUUUUAAUGAUAAACAGGCGCGAAUGUAGUCUAAGAACAAUAGUGUGGCAUGUGUAGCGUGUGUGACUGGGUGCUGUAUGGGUUCUUGUCCCAUUUCUUCUUCUUAAUGUAAUGAUACGCAGAUCUCCCGCGUGCGAGAAAAAAGAGAUUGUUGAAUACAGGUGAUAAAAGUAUUGCCAGUAUGUUAUCUUUCUGUUAUUGAGAGCACACUUCAUUGAAGAUUCAACUGCUUUCCUGCUCCUCGUAAUGUAGGGAAAGGUAUAGCCAAGAAUUCACCGGUGCGAGUUUUCGCUUAAGUCCACAAGGCACCAACACCAUUUUGGUGACAGAGGAGAAGGACCUAAAGCAUUUGCUUGACGAGAAAUUCUUGUUCCUAAGCACAUGUACAGUCCUGUCCAGUCCUGUUUGGUUUUGGUGCCCUAAAUGCUCCACCGCUGCGACUUCUACUUUCUCUUUUACAACUUGAAAGGCAGUUGUUUUACAGCAUAGACCAGGGAUCAGAAUGAGAGCAAAGGCAGAGGAGCGGCACAGACGAUGAUGUAAUUGUUGGAAAUAUAGUGCAACAGAGCUUUAUUGCAGUGACAUUUACACUAUAUUUUCCUAAGGAAAUUGUCAGGAUGGUACUGUCAGAUGUAAAUGGAAUACAAUGUCUGAAACCUUGUUUCAGUACAGUUUGGUUGUCAACAUUCAGAAACAGAGUUUCAGGUCUGUGCAAACGGGUGAGUCGAGGUCUGACCCUGGUGUCAACUGAUCCCGUUUCUAGCCGGACUGAAUUCUGGUAUGUUUGAUUGAUACAAACUUACAAAGUGAAGUCCAUCUCAUCAACGGUACCACGGCUGCCGCACGAAUUCUCCGGUGGAUAAACUUGCACAAGUAGUCGCCGCAGGAGGAGGAGUGCGUGGGACAAACUCCAGGGGGCGGAUCCUGAAGUUUAGGCAGUUCGUUGGUUUAGGGUUGAUUGCUGAUUCGUGCCUAUAAAAGGGAGACGUCCCAGAUAGGAAGACACACAGAAAAAGCAUUCACCUGAGUUCUUCUCUGUUUCGUCGCCGGAGCCUCGCCAUCCCUUUCCUGUUGUGCUGCAGGACGGGGAGAGCAGUAAUCUCCGUUCCUUCUCCGGCUUGCUGACCUGCACGGGUGCCGGAGCAAUCAAGGUUCUGGGAAGUGCCUCUGCACGCUGCUCGCCGAUCUGCAUCGCCACUUCCGCUUCUCCAGCUUCGUCAGGCUUCCACUUCAACACCUUCGUUUCAGUCAAGAUUUUGCUGGACUGGCAUUAAUGGGGUUGGCAACACUCUGCUUGGGCUCUGGGACAAGUUUGUGUUUGUUACGGUUCACUGAUGAUCUUAAUCUGGUUUGGGGAAUUCUGAGAAUUGCUUCAGGCUUUAUUUGAUACCAACUGGAGUGACUGUUAAUACUCCUUUGAUUUGCUCUUCACAUGCAUCACCAAGAUUCUAUGUAGACAUUUUUGUUUUCCUUGUUAUACUCCACCAAGAAUGCUGUCUGAGCCUUUACUCCCUUCGUCCCACAAUAUAAAAGCGUUUUUGUGUCAAAAACGCUCUUAUAUUAUACGUAUAGGACAGAGGGCACUAGUGUAAAAAACGCUCUUAUAUUAUAGGACGAAGGGAGUAGAACUAUUCCUGUUAAGACUAGCUCCCUGGAAAUUAAGACAAGACACAAUCCCUACAUACUCAAUGGUAGCUGAAACUUUUGCAUUCUACUACUGUACUAGUUAAAUUGGCCCCUCUUUUAAACUUUUGUAUGCCUUGUACAUGGAUUGCAAAUUUUAGUAAAAUAUUCUUUGCUUAA
Molecule: RNA transcript, 4151 nt
Organism: Aegilops tauschii subsp. strangulata
Lineage: Eukaryota; Viridiplantae; Streptophyta; Magnoliopsida; Poales; Poaceae
Gene name: beta-carotene isomerase D27, chloroplastic
Source: RefSeq, a predicted model, not a curated record